Molecule: transfer RNA, 73 nt
Filed under: Pampus minor
Lineage: Eukaryota; Metazoa; Chordata; Actinopteri; Scombriformes; Stromateidae
Description: tRNA-Asp
Rfam family: tRNA
About the family: Transfer RNA (tRNA) molecules are approximately 80 nucleotides in length. Their secondary structure includes four short double-helical elements and three loops (D, anti-codon, and T loops). Further hydrogen bonds mediate the characteristic L-shaped molecular structure. tRNAs have two regions of fundamental functional importance: the anti-codon, which is responsible for specific mRNA codon recognition, and the 3' end, to which the tRNAs corresponding amino acid is attached (by aminoacyl-tRNA synthetases). tRNAs cope with the degeneracy of the genetic code in two manners: having more than one tRNA (with a specific anti-codon) for a particular amino acid; and 'wobble' base-pairing, i.e. permitting non-standard base-pairing at the 3rd anti-codon position.
Source: RNAcentral
GAGACAUUAGUAAAAUUAGAUAUUACGCCACCUUGUCGAGGCGGAAUUGUAGGUUCAACCCCUACAUGUUUUA